RNAcentral lists this ribosomal RNA (465 nucleotides) under uncultured bacterium. RNAcentral describes it as "partial 16S ribosomal RNA". It matches the Rfam family "Bacterial small subunit ribosomal RNA", at positions 28 to 507 of the family's 1533-position model. The record is from RNAcentral.
GACGGACGCUGGCGGCGUGCUUAACACAUGCAAGUCGAGCGGAAAGGCCCCAGCUUGCUGGGGUACUCGAGUGGCGAACGGGUGAGUAACACGUGGGUGAUCUGCCCUGCACUCUGGGAUAAGCCUGGGAAACUGGGUCUAAUACCGGAUAGGACCGUGCUUUAGUGUGUGCGGUGGAAAGUUUUUCGGUGCAGGAUGAGCCCGCGGCCUAUCAGCUUGUUGGUGGGGUAAUGGCCUACCAAGGCGGCGACGGGUAGCCGGCCUGAGAGGGUGUACGGCCACAUUGGGACUGAGACACGGCCCAGACUCCUACGGGAGGCAGCAGUGGGGAAUAUUGCACAAUGGGCGCAAGCCUGAUGCAGCGACGCCGCGUGGGGGAUGACGGCCUUCGGGUUGUAAACCCCUUUCGGCAGGGACGAAGCUUUUGUGACGGUACCUGCAUAAGAAGCACCGGCUAACUACGUG